This 390-nucleotide unclassified non-coding RNA is filed under the name soil metagenome. RNAcentral's name for it is "partial contains 5.8S ribosomal RNA, internal transcribed spacer 2, and large subunit ribosomal RNA". The stretch from base 1 to 122 matches the Rfam family "5.8S ribosomal RNA", at positions 35 to 154 of the family's 154-position model. The record is from RNAcentral.
GAUGAAGAACGCAGCGAAAUGCGAUACUUGGUGUGAAUUGCAGAAUCCCGUGAACCAUCGAGUCUUUGAACGCAAGUUGCGCCCGAAGCCAUUAGGCCGAGGGCACGCCUGCCUGGGCGUCACACGUCGUUGCCCCCCAUCUGCUCCUUCGGGAUUGCGGGGGGCGGAUGAUGGCCUCCCGUGCGCCUCGUCGCGCGGUUGGCAUAAAUGCCAAGUCCUCGGCGACGCACGCCACGACAAUCGGUGGUUGCGAAACCUCGGUUGCCCGUCGUGUGCGGUCGUCGCGCAUCGAGGGCUCGAAAAAAUUGCCGGGCUCCGGCUCGGCUUUCAACGCGACCCCAGGUCAGGCGGGGUUACCCGCUGAAUUUAAGCAUAUCAAUAAGCGGAGGA